This is a long non-coding RNA of Tarenaya hassleriana, 2079 nucleotides long. RefSeq lists it as uncharacterized. The transcript has 4 exons. The record is from RefSeq and is a predicted model, not a curated record. Lineage: Eukaryota; Viridiplantae; Streptophyta; Magnoliopsida; Brassicales; Cleomaceae.
AAGUUCAUGUCUUGUUGAUCAUGUUCAACUCCUCUUCCAUUGCCACCUUCCACUUCUGAUCCAGUUUUGCAUCUUCAAAAUUUGAUGGUUCCAUUACAGCAAUAUUGCACCUUUCAUAUAUUUCUGCAAGAGAUCUUGUUCCUCUCACAGGUUCAUCAUUUGCUUCUUCAUCAAUCUCGAUCUGAUAUGUUCCUCCAUCCUGUUGUUCUUGCUCUUCAACUUCUGUAUCAUCCCCUUGCUCAUCAUCAUUUCCUGGUUCUGCAUUUGUUCCAGACCAUUCCCACUUCUCUGGUUCUAGAAACUUAACGUCCCUGCUUACGACAACUCGAUUUGAGUUGGGUAAAUAGAUUCGAUAAGCUUUAGAAACAAGACUGUAACCAACAAAUAUUCCUUUCUCUGCCUUUUCAUCGAGCUUGUCUCUCUUAGCUUCAGGAAAAAAGCUGAAACAAAUGCAACCAAAUAUUCUAAAGUUUGUACAGUUUGGCUUCUUCCCGGUCCAUACCUCGAAAGGAGUCUGUUUCUGCAGCGCUUUGGUUGAUAAUCGGUUGAGAAGAAACACGGCUGUACUCGAUGUUUCUGCCCAGAAACGUUUUGGCAGACUUUUCUCGUACAGAAGACAUCUUGCCAUCUCCAUGAUCAUGCGAUUCUUUCUUUCACUCACCCCAUUCUGUUGCGGGGAGUAGGGCACCGAAAACUGAUGUUUUAUGCCCGAUCCUUCACAUAUAAUUCUGAAUCUGCUGGAGGUGUACUCAGCUCCAUUAUCUGAUCUGAUGACUUUGAUCCUGUUUCCACACUCAUUCUCCACCUCGUUCUUGAAUCUUUCAAAUAUCCCAUCAACUUCUGCCUUAGCUUUCAUGAAGAAAAUCCAGCACAUACGAGUGUAAUAAUCAAUAAACGUUAUGAAAUACCUGCUAUCAGUAAGAGACUCAAUUGGCAUAGGGUCGCAAACAUCGGUAUGGAUCAACUGAAGUUUAUUAAUUGCUCUCCAGGUAGAUGAUUUGAACGGCAAUCUUCUGUGCUUGCCGAGACGACAAAUGCUGCAAUCUCAAACAUCUCUUUGAUGUUCAGUAUUGGCCUGGAAAUUUUGAGGAUUCUUGCUCCUACAGAACCUCUCAAUAUGACCAUACUUGUUGCAAGCCUGACACUUCACAUUUGGGUUUCUCCAACAUCUCCAAUGAGGGGAGAGGAGGGACUUCGUAAUCUUCUUCCACCGCUUCCCAGAGAUCUGCACCUUCAAGGAACGCUUGCAUACGAACUGCCCAAAUCUGGUCCCGAAAAGAUCCUUUAAGAUGCUCUGAUACCAUUGAUACGGUCUGUUUCUUAGACUUGUUCUAUUUUCUAUAUUGAUGGAGAGUAUCAGGAGGAGUUUUACAGGUUCUGAAUUCCUAAUAAAACAUAUUUUAUUUCAUAACACAUAACAACAUAUAUAGAGUUUUUAUAGAGGUGGUUACAACUGUAUUAUAAACUGAAAAAUACAAACUGAUAAUUUCUUCUUGAACUUCCUUCAACGUUAUCUACAUUCUUCAAACCUUCUUGAUGAUGCAGAGUCUUAUGGACACUUCCUUAAUUCGCUAACAGGCAUGCUCAAAAUUGACGUGAGGAAAGCCUUUGAUUCGAUGAGUUGCGAUUUCGUCUUUAUUGGUUGGAACAAAGUAUGCAUUACGUCUCUACUAGUAGGUUACUUCCCGAAUUGUCGAGGAUCUCCUCAUUUUUGUCAGUGGAGGCACUUACGGGGCACUACAAGCUGCACUCGAGACGUGGUAAUGUAACCCCAUUAUCACUCUCCUGCCAUUUGUGGAUGAUAUCAGCUUCGAGGGAAAUCUCCCACGUUGUAGACAUCUUCAACAAAUUCCCGGGCCUUGCGGUAAACCUGGAGAAAACAUAACUAUUUCUGAGUAAAAGGAUAGCGGAUCAAGAUGCACAUUUUGCUAUCUUAAUUUGGUGUUUCCGAUGAAUGUCUCUUUACCCAUCGGCUACACAAAUACCCGAAAUAAUAGCAAAUGAAAUGUUACAGGAAAUUUACCUUGGCAUAAACUCCUGAUAAGAUGUUUUUUUUUCCUCACUUGGAAAGAAGUUUAU